AUUGAACGCUGGCGGAAUGCUUUACACAUGCAAGUCGAACGGUAGAGGGGGCAACCCCCUUGAGAGUGGCGAACGGGUGAGUAAUAUAUCGGAACGUGCCCAGUCGUGGGGAUAACGUAGCGAAAGUUACGCUAAUACCGCAUACGAUCUAAGGAUGAAAGCGGGGGAUCGCAAGACCUCGCGCGAUUGGAGCGGCCGAUAUCAGAUUAGGUAGUUGGUGAGGUAAAGGCUCACCAAGCCAACGAUCUGUAGCUGGUCUGAGAGGACGACCAGCCACACUGGAACUGAGACACGGUCCAGACUCCUACGGGAGGCAGCAGUGGGGAAUUUUGGACAA
RNAcentral lists this ribosomal RNA (337 nucleotides) under uncultured bacterium. RNAcentral's name for it is "bacterial SSU rRNA". It matches the Rfam family "Bacterial small subunit ribosomal RNA", at positions 30 to 371 of the family's 1533-position model. The record is from RNAcentral.